RNAcentral lists this ribosomal RNA (647 nucleotides) under uncultured bacterium. RNAcentral's name for it is "bacterial SSU rRNA". It matches the Rfam family "Bacterial small subunit ribosomal RNA", at positions 143 to 807 of the family's 1533-position model. The record is from RNAcentral.
AUAACAGUUGGAAACGACUGCUAAUACCGCAUAAGCGCACAGGAUCGCAUGAUCCGGUGUGAAAAACUCCGGUGGUAUGAGAUGGACCCGCGUCUGAUUAGCCAGUUGGCAGGGUAACGGCCUACCAAAGCGACGAUCAGUAGCCGACCUGAGAGGGUGACCGGCCACAUUGGGACUGAGACACGGCCCAAACUCCUACGGGAGGCAGCAGUGGGGAAUAUUGCACAAUGGGGGAAACCCUGAUGCAGCGACGCCGCGUGAGCGAAGAAGUAUUUCGGUAUGUAAAGCUCUAUCAGCAGGGAAGAAGAAUGACGGUACCUGACUAAGAAGCACCGGCUAAAUACGUGCCAGCAGCCGCGGUAAUACGUAUGGUGCAAGCGUUAUCCGGAUUUACUGGGUGUAAAGGGAGCGCAGGCGGUGCGGCAAGUCUGAUGUGAAAGCCCGGGGCUCAACCCCGGUACUGCAUUGGAAACUGUCGUACUAGAGUGUCGGAGGGGUAAGUGGAAUUCCUAGUGUAGCGGUGAAAUGCGUAGAUAUUAGGAGGAACACCAGUGGCGAAGGCGGCUUACUGGACGAUAACUGACGCUGAGGCUCGAAAGCGUGGGGAGCAAACAGGAUUAGAUACCCUGGUAGUCCACGCCGUAAAC